This is a long non-coding RNA of Propithecus coquereli (Coquerel's sifaka), 685 nucleotides long. RefSeq lists it as uncharacterized. NCBI's taxonomy places the organism in Eukaryota, Metazoa, Chordata, Mammalia, Primates, Indriidae. The transcript has 3 exons. The record is from RefSeq and is a predicted model, not a curated record.
CGGAACAGGACUGCACCAUCCUUCCGGUCCUCAGUCACUUCUGCCGCCCCAGAAGGCAGCAGAAGGACCACAGCCAUCGCCCGUCUCCCAUCUCCAAGAUGGCGGAGGCAGCUUCAAGCUUACCUCUCGCGAGGAGUUCGUCCCACUGUCUCUGAUUAGCCCCGAGGUCAGAGGUAUCCGAAGGCUCCAUGAGAGCCAAGGUGACAAAUUUUGAAAAAUGAAAGAAGACACACCCGCUGUCUCUCAGUUGCCAUGUGGGAAGCGUUUCUGAAGGCUCUCCGCUGCCGUGGUCUCCUUGUGCUGUGCUGGAAAUCGCGAGGUGCUGCGGCGAUUUUCACAUCCGAGAGGUUUUGCCUCCUUAUUCCCUGCCCCUUCCCUCUGUGUAGAUCUGAGCCUGCAAAUCCGGAGAGCGGACUGUUGAGUAAAUCCCAUGGCCUCUGCUCUACUUUUUCUGCCCUCUUAAAUGUCGGCGUUUUCCCAAGGUUCCAUCGUCGUUCCACCUCCAACUGGACACCUUGCUCCUUGAACUCAAUCAGAUACCGUGAUUCCCUAAUCUUUUAGUUCUGUAUAAAUCUGCUCAGCCUUCUGUAUUAUGAUCUGUGAAUCAACCGUUCAACAACUGUCUAGACCAGAAACUUUGGCAUCAUCUUUGAUUUUUUUUCCCUCACUUUUAAAACCCCGUGAU